UUGUUCCAAGACCUCCGGUUUUGUGCAUCAAUAUUUGGCGCCGUCUGUGGGAAUCGAUACGAAAAGUUGUGUCGGUUCUCUUUCAUUUUUUCACCUCCACCGUGAAUCUGCAGAAACUCAAGAACCAUGCAGUACGUAUCCCAUUCUCAACCACAAACUUGUAGCAAAGCAAGAUAUUUGCACAUUAUCUAUAACCCAAGAUCCCAAACAAAGAUGACAACCAAAUCCAAAACAUCAGAUCAGAGAACCAAAUCAUGAAGCCACCACUAAGAUUGAAACU
Molecule: long non-coding RNA, 280 nt
Filed under: Malus domestica (apple)
Lineage: Eukaryota; Viridiplantae; Streptophyta; Magnoliopsida; Rosales; Rosaceae
Description: long non-coding RNA (MDOM_LNC011405)
Source: RNAcentral